RNAcentral lists this long non-coding RNA (1408 nucleotides) under Numida meleagris (helmeted guineafowl). RNAcentral describes it as "lncRNA (ENSNMEG00000010492.1)". The record is from RNAcentral. Lineage: Eukaryota; Metazoa; Chordata; Aves; Galliformes; Numididae.
UGUUGUUUUUUUUUUUUAAAUGUAUAGUUUCAAGCAUAGCCAUGUAACACCAAAGAGCCUGCAUGCAUAAUGCCAACUAUCAGCCUAAAGCAGCAAGAAGCAGAAAUUUGUUCCAAUUUUGCCAACACUUGUUACUCUCAUGAGAGCCACGCAGUAUUUGCCAUUUUGCAUAACUAUUCUUUGAGUCAUGUACUUAUAUUUCUUAUACUUCUUGCCUUUCAUUUAAAAUGGAAAACAAAUUUUGUUUCACUGUGAUUGAGAAAACAAGAAAACACCUACGAGGAUGUUCUUCAAACAAACCUUGCUGAAAAAAUGCAAGCCCACAGAGCUCAGAAGCCUGAAAUCUAAAAAUAUAGAUGUACUCAUUCUUAAUACUCAAUCUUUUUUAAGUCAGUUUUGAGUUACGAUUUUAGAGGAACACUGAUUUGUGAGUUUUGAUUAAAACAGAUCAACAAUAGUGCCUUAUCGGGUUGUUGAAAGGGAGAAAAUAACCAUCUGUUCCUACCUUGUGGGCAACCUUCAAGAAACAGUUGAAGUCAAUGCUUUUAUUUUCUAAGAAGGUGGCAGUAUAGGAGUGGAUGAAUCACAUAGCUGUUGGAAAUUGCUAUAGUCAGCUAUUACUACUGAGGUGCCUGCUAAGUGUCAAAUAGAAAAAGAAAAGAGAACAGUCUAUGUGAUUGUUAGGGAAACGCGUUCAUCAGAAAGUAAAAUCUUGUCUGAAAAAGAUAAGUCCUGAAAUGACAACUACUUACUUUGCAGCCUCUCUGAAAUGUGUUUGUGAAGCACUGGGAUGCGGCUGUUCCCUCCCCUACUCAGCACCAGCUUCCACCUCCACGUGUCCGCGCAUCUCAACCCAGAGCAAAACCUCUCAACUUUUUGAAACUGAGGUCCAUCUAGUGGAUACAACUCGAUAUUACAGCAGCGAAAUCCCCAGCUGCUUAUUAAAGAUCCAUACCUACAUCCUGAUGAUGCUGGUGGCACUUCCUUCAAGUUCAAAAUCUGGACUCAGUUUGGUUGGCUUCCAGCGGAUAAAUUCCCACCCCCCAGAGGAGAAGUAGAAAUUUUGGAGAAGAAUGAUUGAUUAUUGCCUGAGAGAUCUGAACUGUGUAAAUGAAUUAAAGAUGCAGUUCUGCAAUUUCUUUCCGUUUCCUUCAGCAAACAUUACAGGGAAGAUUCCUGGGGGACUUGAAUGAAUCCUCUUGCUUGUAUGCACUAGAUCUUGCUGCCUAGGAGAUACACAACUGGCAUAUCUAUAGGCAGAGAGUACCCCAAUUGUGUCUAAAAAUAGGAACUCUGUGAAAUACAAAGGGAUAAACUUGAAAUAGUGUGAUUAACAAACAGAUUUUCAAUCAUUUUUACUUAAGAAGAAGAGUUGAGAAUAUCCUGAGUCCUUUGUCAUCUUGACUGC